CCUACGGGUGGCAGCAGUGAGGAAUAUUGGUCAAUGGGCGCGAGCCUGAACCAGCCAAGUAGCGUGAAGGAUGACUGCCCUAUGGGUUGUAAACUUCUUUUAUAUGGGAAUAAAAUGUUCCACGUGUGGGAUUUUGUAUGUACCAUAUGAAUAAGGAUCGGCUAACUACGUGCCAGCAGCCGCGGUAAUACGGAGGAACAGAGGGUUAUCCGGAUUUAUUGGGUUUAAAGGGAGCGUAGGUUGAUUGUUAAGUCAGUUGUGAAAUUUUGCGGCUCAACCGUAAAAUUGCCGUUGAAACUGGCAGUCUAGAGUACAGUAGAGGUAGGCGGAAUGCGUGGUGUAGCGGUGAAAUGCUUAGAUAUCACGAAGAACUCCGAUUGCGAAGGCAGCUCACUGGACUGCAACUGACACUGAGGCUCGAAAGUGUGGGUAUCAAACAGGAUUAGAUACCCCGGUAGUC
This 460-nucleotide ribosomal RNA is filed under the name uncultured bacterium. Its description in RNAcentral is "partial 16S ribosomal RNA". It matches the Rfam family "Bacterial small subunit ribosomal RNA", at positions 338 to 795 of the family's 1533-position model. The record is from RNAcentral.